ACACACACACACACACAUGAUGGCUCAGUCAUAGUCUGCCAUGACACCGUAUACAAGUAGGUACACACACACACACACAUGAUGGCUCAGUCAUAGUCUGCCAUGACACCGUAUACAAGUAGGUACACACACAUGAUGUCAUAGUCUGCCAUGACACCGUAUACAAGUAGGUACACACACACACAUGAUGGCUCAGUCAUAGUCUGCCAUGGCACCGUAUACAAGUAGGUACACACACACACACACACAUGAUGGCUCAGUCAUAGUCUGCCAUGACACCGUAUACAAGUAGGUACACACACACACACACAUGAUGUCAUAGUCUGCCAUGACACCGUAUACAAGUAGGUACACACACACACACACACACGAUGUCAUAGUCUGCCAUGACACCGUAUACAAGU
Molecule: non-coding RNA, 404 nt
Organism: Nerophis lumbriciformis (worm pipefish)
Lineage: Eukaryota; Metazoa; Chordata; Actinopteri; Syngnathiformes; Syngnathidae
Source: RefSeq, a predicted model, not a curated record